UUGUUGCUGCUAUAGAGUUGGCCAUUAUUUUGUUCACCCGAUUUACUUAAUCAGAGCAGCAUAGACAACAUGUGUAACAUACAAAUGGAAUAAGUCAAGGUGGACAAUGGAUUAGAAAUGUUAAUGAAUGACUUUGUAAAUAGAUGUGCAAAAGCUAAUACAUAUAACCUUUUCAUGUCAUGUAGGAUGAAUGCUGUUGGAGUGAAGUACAGAGAUCGACAAAAAUACCUCUGUUUUGAGGGCCAAGUACGCAUUGUAUUUGGAAAGUGAUUGCCUGAGUUCCCCUGCAAGCAGCUCCUUUACCAGCUCCAGUGGGGAUAUUGAUGGGGACUCUGAUGACACCGUAAUAUUGCAGUGCAGUCCUGCCACAAGACAGAGAGCUGAAAACACCUCUCUUGCCAAAAUGAUUGAAGAUGUUCUAAAGAACAAACCUGGCGGAGAGAGGAUCAUCAAUGAGUAUGCUCAGACAAAAAGUCUUAACAGAUGGCAGGCGGAGCGACAUGGUCAAGAUAUUGGUUGCACAAAUAAGUGAACAUGGUGCUCAUAGUUUGUGUGUAUGUGUAGGACAAGUCCUUCAAGGCGUGUCAAAGAGGACUACGCAAAGGGGAUCAUCAACUUGUUCCCAUACCUGGCUGAUCCAAGGAGCAAGUUUGGUUAUAAGAUGGGAGUGGGUAUCUGGCUUGGAGAUUGAAGUUUGUCCAAAAGGAAGCUUCUGAUGGACAAAAGAAGGCCAUGAGACUCUCAAGAACACAAAUGGGGGGCCCAUCAGCUGAAAGAGACUUGAGGGAGGGGACAAUCCCCAAUAACUGACAGCUUGUGUUCUGAGGCCAUUGCACUGAUGAAGCAUACAGCUGAUGAAGGAAUUGUUAUGACGAAGAUGAAGCAGACCUUCAACUAUCGCCAAAAGAUCAUUCAUGAUCCAGUGAAGUCCUCUGAUGUCUUUCUGGCCUUCCCAAGAUUCCUGGACAUACAAGGAUUAAUUGAGCAAGAUUUUACUUUGAUGUUUGAUGAUGACAUCUCUGCAAAGUUCCUGGAGAAGUGGCCCACAAUUUACAAGAAAAAAGUCCUUGAACAAAGCCGUGGUCUCAGUCGGAUGAUCUGCAGUACCUCGUCCAGACUGCUGAAUCCACAACAGAAGUCGAAAGUGGAUGGGACAGUGACAUGUCGUCCAUUUUGAUCCUUGUGCACCUGCUGCCGCCGUCACCUCUUGGCCGCAAGAGACCAGGAAAGCUCUCCGCCAGACAAACCAGUGAGAAUCUUGUGAAGUUCAUCAAGACAGGGACCAGCAUCCAGGGGCAUCUCGAUGGAAUCGCAGGCAGCCUUCAACCAUACCUGCUUGCUGUGGGAACUCAGAGGAAUGUGAUUCACAAGUACUUCAUUGACAAACAUGCAAGAUCUUGUAAGUCAUCUGGCUCUCUUGCUUGAUUUGAUGAGCUUUUCAAAGCUCACUUUGUCUUUGGCACUUCGUACAACCACGAUCUCGUCAAUGUGUACAACGUCCUUCAGUCAACCAUUUAUGAAAUCGAUAUUGAUACAACCAAGGUGAAUCCUAGAGUUGCAGAGUUGAGGGCUCAGAUGCUGCGUUGAGUAGAUUUUUCUGAUUUGUUUUUCUGUGAGGGCUCCAUUCCAGAAUUAAGGUAUUCUAAAAUGUUGUUUUUCAUUUGUAAGAGCUCUCAGACAAAUACUAAUUUAGUUGUAUGUG
Molecule: long non-coding RNA, 1702 nt
Organism: Pseudoliparis swirei
Lineage: Eukaryota; Metazoa; Chordata; Actinopteri; Perciformes; Liparidae
Exons: 9
Source: RefSeq, a predicted model, not a curated record